UGAACGCUGGCGGCAGGCCUAACACAUGCAAGUCGGACGGUAGCACAGAGAGCUUGCUCUCGGGUGACGAGUGGCGGACGGGUGAGUAAUGUCUGGGAAACUGCCCGAUGGAGGGGGAUAACUACUGGAAACGGUAGCUAAUACCGCAUAACGUCUUCGGACCAAAGUGGGGGACCUUCGGGCCUCACACCAUCGGAUGUGCCCAGAUGGGAUUAGCUAGUAGGUGGGGUAAUGGCUCACCUAGGCGACGAUCCCUAGCUGGUCUGAGAGGAUGACCAGCCACACUGGAACUGAGACACGGUCCAGACUCCUACGGGAGGCAGCAGUGGGGAAUAUUGCACAAUGGGCGCAAGCCUGAUGCAGCCAUGCCGCGUGUAUGAAGAAGGCCUUCGGGUUGUAAAGUACUUUCAGCGGGGAGGAAGGCGAUGGAGUUAAUAGCUUCAUCGAUUGACGUUACCCGCAGAAGAAGCACCGGCUAACUCCGUGCCAGCAGCCGCGGUAAUACGGAGGGUGCAAGCGUUAAUCGGAAUUACUGGGCGUAAAGCGCACGCAGGCGGUCUGUCAAGUCGGAUGUGAAAUCCCCGGGCUUAACCUGGGAACUGCAUUCGAAACUGGCAGGCUAGAGUCUUGUAGAGGGGGGGUAGAAUUCCAGGUGUAGCGGUGAAAUGCGUAGAGAUCUGGAGGAAUACCGGUGGCGAAGGCGGCCCCCUGGACAAAGACUGACGCUCAGGUGCGAAAGCGUGGGGAGCAAACAGGAUUAGAUACCCUGGUAGUCCACGCCGUAAACGAUGUCGACUUGGAGGUUGUGCCCUUGAGGCGUGGCUUCCGGAGCUAACGCGUUAAGUCGACCGCCUGGGGAGUACGGCCGCAAGGUUAAAACUCAAAUGAAUUGACGGGGGCCCGCACAAGCGGUGGAGCAUGUGGUUUAAUUCGAUGCAACGCGAAGAACCUUACCUACUCUUGACAUCCAGCGAAUUCGGUAGAGAUACCUUAGUGCCUUCGGGAACGCUGAGACAGGUGCUGCAUGGCUGUCGUCAGCUCGUGUUGUGAAAUGUUGGGUUAAGUCCCGCAACGAGCGCAACCCUUAUCCUUUGUUGCCAGCGGUCCGGCCGGGAACUCAAAGGAGACUGCCGGUGAUAAACCGGAGGAAGGUGGGGAUGACGUCAAGUCAUCAUGGCCCUUACGAGUAGGGCUACACACGUGCUACAAUGGCGUAUACAAAGAGAAGCGACCUCGCGAGAGCAAGCGGACCUCAUAAAGUACGUCGUAGCCCGGAUUGGAGUCUGCAACUCGACUCCAUGAAGUCGGAAUCGCUAGUAAUCGUAGAUCAGAAUGCUACGGUGAAUACGUUCCCGGGCCUUGUACACACCGC
This 1372-nucleotide ribosomal RNA is filed under the name uncultured bacterium. RNAcentral's name for it is "16S ribosomal RNA". It matches the Rfam family "Bacterial small subunit ribosomal RNA", at positions 30 to 1393 of the family's 1533-position model. The record is from RNAcentral.